AGUGAACGCUGGCGGUAGGCCUAACACAUGCAAGUCGAACGGCAGCACAGUAAGAGCUUGCUCUUACGGGUGGCGAGUCGCGGACGGGUGAGGAAUACAUCGGAAUCUACUUUUUCGGGGGGGAUAACGUAGGGAAACUUACUCUAAUACCGCAUCCGCCCUACGGGUGAAAGCAGGGGAUCUUCGGACCUUGCGCGAUUGAAUGCGCCGAUGUCGGAUUAGCUAGUUGGCGGGGUCAAGGCCCACCAAGGCGACGAUCCGUAGCUGGUCUGAGAGAAUGAUCAGCCACACUGGAACUGAGACACGGUCCAGACUCCUACGGGAGGCAGCAGUGGGGAAUAUUGGACAAUGGGCGCAAGCCUGAUCCAGCCAUACCGCGUGGGUGAAGAAGGCCUUCGGGUUGUAAAGCCCUUUUGUUGGGAAAGAAAAGCAGCAGGUUAAUACCCCGCUGUUCUGACGGUACCCAAAGAAUAAGCACCGGCUAACUUCGUG
RNAcentral lists this ribosomal RNA (492 nucleotides) under uncultured bacterium. Its description in RNAcentral is "partial 16S ribosomal RNA". It matches the Rfam family "Bacterial small subunit ribosomal RNA", at positions 29 to 507 of the family's 1533-position model. The record is from RNAcentral.